RNAcentral lists this ribosomal RNA (301 nucleotides) under uncultured bacterium. Its description in RNAcentral is "partial 16S ribosomal RNA". It matches the Rfam family "Bacterial small subunit ribosomal RNA", at positions 509 to 807 of the family's 1533-position model. The record is from RNAcentral.
CAGUAGCCGCGGUAAGACAGAGGGUGCGAGCGUUAAUCGGAUUUACUGGGCGUAAAGCGUGCGUAGGCGGCUUUUUAAGUCGGAUGUGAAAUCCCUGAGCUUAACUUAGGAAUUGCAUUCGAUACUGUGAAGCUAGAGUAUGGGAGAGGAUGGUAGAAUUCCAGGUGUAGCGGUGAAAUGCGUAGAGAUCUGUAGGAAUACCGAUGGCGAAGGCAGCCAUCUGGCCUAAUACUGACGCUGAGGUACGAAAGCAUGGGGAGCAAACAGGAUUAGAUACCCGAGUAGUCCCUGUCUCUUAUAC